UGGCUCUCGCAUCGAUGAAGAACGCAGCGAAAUGCGAUAAGUAAUGUGAAUUGCAGAAUUCAGUGAAUCAUCGAAUCUUUGAACGCACCUUGCGCUCCUUGGUAUUCCGAGGAGCAUGCCUGUUUGAGUGUCGUGAACAUCUCAACUCAGAAGCAUUUGUUUGCUUUCUGGGCUUGGACUUGGAGGUUUUUGCUGGCGAUGGUCGGCUCCUCUCAAAUGCAUUAGCUGGGCUUAGCUCAGAGGAAUGAUCGGUGUGAUAAUUAUCUGCGCCGUCACUCAUGACUCUGGAUCCCGCUUCCAAUCGUCUCUCCACGAGACAAUUCAUUUGAACAUCUGACCUCAAAUCAGGUAGGACUACCCGCUGA
This 365-nucleotide unclassified non-coding RNA is filed under the name uncultured fungus. RNAcentral's name for it is "partial contains 5.8S ribosomal RNA and internal transcribed spacer 2". The stretch from base 1 to 133 matches the Rfam family "5.8S ribosomal RNA", at positions 22 to 154 of the family's 154-position model. The record is from RNAcentral. Lineage: Eukaryota; Fungi.